Molecule: ribosomal RNA, 253 nt
Filed under: uncultured bacterium
Lineage: Bacteria
Description: partial 16S ribosomal RNA
Rfam family: Bacterial small subunit ribosomal RNA
Source: RNAcentral
UACGUAGGGACCAAGCGUUGUCCGGAAUCAUUGGGCGGAAAGAGCGUGUAGGCGGCUUGUUAAGUCUUGCGUGAAAUCUCGGGGCUCAACCCCGAGCGGUCGUGAGAAACUGGCAGGCUAGAGUGCGGGAGAGGAGAGUGGAAUUCCUGGUGUAGCGGUGAAAUGCGCAGAUAUCAGGAAGAACACCCGUGGCGAAGGCGGCUCUCUGGAACGCAACUGACGCUGAGACGCGAAAGCGUGGGGAGCAAACAGG